This 413-nucleotide RNase P RNA is filed under the name Candidatus Omnitrophota bacterium. RNAcentral describes it as "Candidatus Omnitrophica bacterium (sediment metagenome) RNase P RNA component class A". It matches the Rfam family "Bacterial RNase P class A". Rfam says of the family: Ribonuclease P (RNase P) is a ubiquitous endoribonuclease, found in archaea, bacteria and eukarya as well as chloroplasts and mitochondria. Its best characterised activity is the generation of mature 5'-ends of tRNAs by cleaving the 5'-leader elements of precursor-tRNAs. Lineage: Bacteria; Pseudomonadati; Candidatus Omnitrophota. The record is from RNAcentral.
AUCAAUCCAUAGACGGUCGCCCUGAUGUUUUUUCAUUGGGGAGGAAAGUCCGAGCUCCACAGGGUAAUGCAUCCCGCUAAUACGGGACCAUUGGCGGAGAGUUUUGUGAGAACAGAACUGCCGCCUUCGGGAUCAGAGCCACAGAGACGAGCCUUUGGUGUCGGGGGGAUUUCUUCCCGGUAAAGCGCCGCGCAAGCGGCACGCAUUGAAGGGGUGAAACGAGGCAAUCUCUGCAUGGAGCAAGGCCAAACAGGGGGCAAUGAGGUUACCCGCCUCGCGCUUCCGGGUAGGCCGCAAGAGUCCCGCGGGCAACCGGGGGAGUUAGUCAGAUGGCCGUCCACCUGCGGCGCAAGUUCACGCAAGUGCCUUGUGCUUUUGGGGGAACAGAACUCGGCUUAUGUGGAUUGAUACUU